RNAcentral lists this ribosomal RNA (462 nucleotides) under uncultured bacterium. Its description in RNAcentral is "partial 16S ribosomal RNA". It matches the Rfam family "Bacterial small subunit ribosomal RNA", at positions 338 to 795 of the family's 1533-position model. The record is from RNAcentral.
CCUACGGGUGGCAGCAGUGAGGAAUAUUGGUCAAUGGACGCAAGUCUGAACCAGCCAAGUAGCGUGCAGGAUGACGGCCCUCCGGGUUGUAAACUGCUUUUAGUUGGGAAUAAAAGGGGGCUCGUGAGCCCCGUAUUGUAUGUACCAUCAGAAAAAGGACCGGCUAACUCCGUGCCAGCAGCCGCGGUAAUACGGAGGGUGCGAGCGUUAAUCGGAAUUACUGGGCGUAAAGCGCUCGUAGGCGGUAUGUCAAGUCAAGGGUGAAAUCCCCGCGCUCAACGUGGGAACUGCCUUUGAAACUGGCAAACUGGAGUGUGUGAGAGGAUAGUGGAAUUCCAGGUGUAGGAGUGAAAUCCGUAGAUAUCUGGAGGAACAUCAGUGGCGAAGGCGACUAUCUGGCACAUAACUGACGCUGAGGAGCGAAAGCGUGGGUAGCAAACAGGAUUAGAUACCCCUGUAGUC